AAAAACAUCUCCUUUUGAUUUUUAUUUAAGGUUUAAUCUGCUCAAUGAAUAUUAAAUUGCCGCGGUAUUUUGACCGUGCAAAGGUAGCAUAAUAAUUAGUUUCUUGAUUAGAAGCUUGAAUGAAUGAUUGGACGAGAAAAUUUCUGUCUCUUUUUAAUUUGUUUUUGAAUUUUAUUUUUAAGUAAAAAAGCUUAAAUUUUAAUAAAAGACGAGAAGACCCUAUAGAGUUUUAUAUUUAAUGUUUAUUUAGUAUUAGAAAUUUUUUUAAAUUUUACUUAUUUAGUUGGGGUGACUGGAGGAUAAAAAUAAUUCCUCUUUUUGUUAAUUGAUGAUUGUUAAAUUGGUUAUCUGAUUUUUUCAAAUAAAAAAUAAAUUACCUUAGGGAUAACAGCGUAAUUUUUCUUUAGAGUUCUUAUUGAAAGAAGAUUUUGCGACCUCGAUGUUGGAUUAAAAUAAAUUUUUGGUGUAGAAGCUAAAAAAUUGGGUCUGUUCGACCUUUAAUAUUUUACAUGAUCUGA
Molecule: ribosomal RNA, 518 nt
Filed under: Thonalmus sinuaticostis
Lineage: Eukaryota; Metazoa; Arthropoda; Insecta; Coleoptera; Lycidae
Description: partial large subunit ribosomal RNA
Rfam family: Bacterial large subunit ribosomal RNA
Source: RNAcentral